AAUGUCCUACUCGGAGCUAGGGUUUGUUACCUCCUUAUUUAUAAAUGGAAGAGGAGGCCACAGUUUCCUCGUGAAAGCGGCGAAAGUCGAGAGAUAAAGAGUGAGCCAUCGGUGAAAUUUAAGCAAGGAUGAGGGCCAAGUGGAAGAAGAAGCGUAUGAGAAGACUGAAGAGGAAGCGCAGAAAGAUGAGACAGAGAUCUAAGUAGAUGAGGGUUCUAGAUGCCUAGGACGCUUUCUUGGGUGAAUCUGCUGCCCUUUUCCUCUUGCUGUCUAUCUCUCUGGCAGCUCCAGAGAAUGGUGGUUGUCUGUUGUUUGAAGCUGUAUUAAUUAAUCUACUAUGUUUUAUGAAGGAGCUUAGUUUAGUUAAACUAUUACUUGUAAGGAUGUUGAUUUGUGUUUUUGGGGCAACUUGCUAGUUUUGUCCACCUAAGAUAUAUGGAGAUUAUCCUGAACCUAUUCUCUUUUAAGCUGACUUUCUUGAAAGGAUUUCUGUU
This is a long non-coding RNA of Nicotiana tabacum (common tobacco), 494 nucleotides long. RefSeq lists it as uncharacterized. Lineage: Eukaryota; Viridiplantae; Streptophyta; Magnoliopsida; Solanales; Solanaceae. The record is from RefSeq and is a predicted model, not a curated record.